CUUUAUUCGUCUCAUUUGACAGGGAAGUUGUUUAUUUAUGGUCGGAGGAAGCAGUAUCGUUUUUUACUCUUAUCUUACAACGCAACACAUGUCUGUAUGACUUUGCAAAAGCAAUCGCAGAGAAUUGCAAUUAGGCUACAAGGUAAUUGUGCAGCAUUGACGGUAAAAUAACAAUUAAACGGAGCACUGUAACUUUAAAUAACAAUGCAUUUGCGCCCAAAGGGAAUCCGACCAUUUCCUUUCUGUUGUAUCUGAAUUCGCCAAAUAUUACAAAACAUCCUUUUCCUUGAAGGCAUUAUCCCAGCAUAUUGGCUAUCCUCCCUUCCUUCCCCAGAAUUCCAGGAUUGGAUAAGGAGGUUUGCAUUGUGCAUUGCUUAGAGCAGAACGACAAAACCGACGGGUUUCAUUCUAUAAAGAGAUGCUAUUACAAUAAAAAAUAGUUGUACAACAGGUGAACCGGAAUGGAAGAUCAGACCGAAAGUCUUUCAAAGAACAGACUCUAAACUAGAGGAAACAGCUGCUUUGCCCGUGUCGGCUCCAUAGAAACUGGAAAUAGGAGUUCAUUAAAGAUGGAGUAAACGCUUUGAGAAUAUGGCCCUGUUUUGAUGUGACCUCUAGAAUGCUGGGGCGCCGCAGAAGAGCAGUGAUGAGUACAUUUAGUUCAUUAGUAAAAAAUAAAAACAUGUAAAAUCAAUUUAAAACAUUUAAAAACCACUACGCAGUUACAUAAUGUGCCUUGAGGCUCUGUGGGGAAUACUGAAAGACAAUGCACAGGAGAUAUUGAGAUUUAACAAAAAGAGCUUUAAAUCUCAUUAGAGUCUUCAAAGCUUCGGGACAGAUAAGAUGGCUUCUGUUUCAUUGCAACCCACCCCCCUGGAUGGGAAUAUGAGUGUUUCCAUUGCGCUGGUCCACAGAGAGAUCUCUGUUUGCGAGUGCAGUCAUGUGAUCUGGCGCCUGGCUAAGGAGAUUCCCAGGUGUUUGUACUUGACAACCUGAUGGAAAAAUGAGUUUAAGUGUCCUGCCUUCUCUAAAGUUUUUUUUAUGCAAAUGAAAUCCUUGGCAUUGUAAUAAAAGCCAUCCCCCACUUGCAGCAGAUCUGACAGUGAGCUGAUAGUAGGUGCUCUGUUGGCAGGUGCUUCCGUAUCCAAGACUGUACACACUACUGACGUUUCACGAGAAACCAUUUCAAAAUGAAUGAGCCAUACUAGAAUGAAAUAACUGUUGUAGAAAUAUCCACACAUUCAUUCAAACAAACGUAGGCCCUUGGUGACAGUUUUUCUCCUGGCUGCCAGGAAGUUGCUGAGUUCUUCGCCAAGAAGGAUUAGGUGAUGUAACUUCUCUAAAAAUAAAAUAUCUGUAUUUCAUAAACAAACAUUUGUACAACUAUAAUGACCCUUUCUAACAACAGUAAUUACUAUGAAAUUAAUACUUCACUGUUUCAUCACCAAGUACAGAAAGAUAAUCCUACGAUAAGUAAAUAGUUUAGGCCAAAUUAGUCAAUGUACACAUACGUGUUGUACACAUGUAGUCUUGGAGGGCUUCUAGUGGUGGCUUUAUUGAUUUCCAGUAUGUCCUUAAUCCUAAAAUGUAAACAUUUAGGAAAUUAAAAUUAACACCCCUAUACAGUCUAUUUUAAUGAAGGGAA
This is a long non-coding RNA of Acipenser ruthenus (sterlet), 1645 nucleotides long. RefSeq lists it as uncharacterized. The transcript is spliced from 4 exons. NCBI's taxonomy places the organism in Eukaryota, Metazoa, Chordata, Actinopteri, Acipenseriformes, Acipenseridae. The record is from RefSeq and is a predicted model, not a curated record.